RNAcentral lists this ribosomal RNA (522 nucleotides) under Halysidota sp. BAH_28362_D02. Its description in RNAcentral is "partial 16S ribosomal RNA". The stretch from base 382 to 522 matches the Rfam family "Archaeal large subunit ribosomal RNA", at positions 2542 to 2682 of the family's 2987-position model. The record is from RNAcentral. Lineage: Eukaryota; Metazoa; Arthropoda; Insecta; Lepidoptera; Erebidae.
UAGAAAAUAAUUUAAAGUCUAAUCUGCCCACUGAUUAAUAAUUGAAGGGCUGCAGUAUAUUGACUGUACAAAGGUAGCAUAAUCAUUAGUCAUUUAAUUGAUGACUUGUAUGAAGGAUUGGAUGAAGUAUAAACUGUCUCUUAAAUAAAUUAUAGAAUUUAAUUUUUAAAUUAAAAAGUUUAAAUAAAUUAAAAAGACGAGAAGACCCUAUAGAGUUUUAUAGAUAAUUUAAUUAAAGUUAUUUAUAAAUUUAAAAUUUUUAAUUAAAUUAUUUAUUUUAUUGGGGUGAUAGAAAAAUAAAAUUAACUUUUUUUAUAAUUAAACAUAGAUAAGUGAAUAAAUGAUCCAAUAUUAUUGAUUAUAAGAAAAAAUUACCUUAGGGAUAACAGCGUAAUUUAUUUUUUUAGUUCAUAUAAAAAAAUGAGUUUGCGACCUCGAUGUUGGAUUAAGAUAAAAGUUAAAUGCAAAAGUUUAAAUUUUUUGAUCUGUUCGAUCAUUAAAAUCUUACGUGAUCUGAGUUCA